AGGGCGAACGCUGGCGGCACGCCUAACACAUGCAAGUCGAGCGAUCGGCUCUGGGGAGCUUGCUCCCUGGAGUACGGAGCGGCGAACGGGUGAGUAACACGUGGAUAAUCUGCCUCGAAGACCGGAAUAACUUCGGGAAACUGGAGCUAAUGCCGGAUACCCUUCCCGGACCGCAUGGCCUGGAAAGGAAAGGAUCCCGCUUCGAGAGGAGUCCGCGGCCUAUCAGGUAGUUGGUGAGGUAACGGCUCACCAAGCCUACGACGGGUAGCCGGCCUGAGAGGGUGAACGGCCACAUCGGGACUGAGACACGGCCCGAACUCCUACGGGAGGCAGCAGUGGGAAUCUUGCACAAUGGGACGAAAGCCUGAUGCAGCGAUGCCGCGUGAGGGAUGGAAGGUCCGUUCGGGUCGUAAACCUCGUUUCAGUCGAGGACGAACGCCGACGGGUUACCGUGGUGACGGUACCUGACGAGGAAGAACGGCCCGGACUAACGUACGU
Molecule: ribosomal RNA, 498 nt
Filed under: uncultured soil bacterium
Lineage: Bacteria
Description: bacterial SSU rRNA
Rfam family: Bacterial small subunit ribosomal RNA
Source: RNAcentral